AUUGCCCUAGUAACGGCGAGUGAAGCGGCAACAGCUCAAAUUUGAAAGCUAGCCUUCGGGUUCGCAUUGUAAUUUGUAGAGGAUGAUUUGGGGAAGCCGCCUGUCUAAGUUCCUUGGAACAGGACGUCAUAGAGGGUGAGAAUCCCGUAUGUGACAGGAAAUGGCACCCUAUGUAAAUCUCCUUCGACGAGUCGAGUUGUUUGGGAAUGCAGCUCUAAAUGGGAGGUAAAUUUCUUCUAAAGCUAAAUAUUGGCGAGAGACCGAUAGCGCACAAGUAGAGUGAUCGAAAGAUGAAAAGCACUUUGGAAAGAGAGUUAAAAAGCACGUGAAAUUGUUGAAAGGGAAGCGCUUGCAAUCAGACUUGUUUAAACUGUUCGGCCGGUCUUCUGACCGGUUUACUCAGUUUGGACAGGCCAGCAUCAGUUUCGGCGGCCGGAUAAAGGCUCUGGGAAUGUGGCCUCCACUUCGGUGGAGGUGUUAUAGCCCAGGGUGUAAUACGGCCAGCCGGGACUGAGGUCCGCGCUUCGGCUAGGAUGCUGGCG
This 542-nucleotide ribosomal RNA is filed under the name Aureobasidium proteae. Its description in RNAcentral is "eukaryotic LSU rRNA". It matches the Rfam family "Eukaryotic large subunit ribosomal RNA", at positions 74 to 631 of the family's 3401-position model. The record is from RNAcentral. Lineage: Eukaryota; Fungi; Ascomycota; Dothideomycetes; Dothideales; Saccotheciaceae.